UCUCUCAAAUCUUUAAAAAAAAAAUUGUGGUUUUUUUUUUUUAAAGAAGUUUUGUGGCUAUAUUGAAACACAAGUUAUGCUUCCAUCACAGCAGAUCUAUUGCAGUGGUGACAAUGAGACUUGUAACGUUU
Molecule: small nucleolar RNA, 131 nt
Filed under: Vulpes vulpes (red fox)
Lineage: Eukaryota; Metazoa; Chordata; Mammalia; Carnivora; Canidae
Description: Small nucleolar RNA SNORA1 (ENSVVUG00000009741.1)
Rfam family: Small nucleolar RNA SNORA1
About the family: ACA1 is a member of the H/ACA class of snoRNA that guide the sites of modification of uridines to pseudouridines.
Source: Rfam by way of RNAcentral